Molecule: ribosomal RNA, 451 nt
Filed under: uncultured bacterium
Lineage: Bacteria
Description: partial 16S ribosomal RNA
Rfam family: Bacterial small subunit ribosomal RNA
Source: RNAcentral
AGCGAACGCUGGCGGCAGGCUUAACACAUGCAAGUCGAGCGGGCGUAGCAAUACGUCAGCGGCAGACGGGUGAUUAACGCGUGGGAACGUACCUUUUAGUUCGGAACAACACAGGGAAACUUGUGCUAAUACCGGAUAAGCCCUUACGGGGAAAGAUUUAUCGCCGAAAGAUCGGCCCGCGUCUGAUGAGGUAGUUGGUGAGGGAAGGGCUCACCAAGGCGACGAUCAGUAGCUGGUGUGAGAGGAUGAUCAUCCACAUUGGGACUGAGACACGGACCAAACUCCUACGGGAGGCAGCAGUGGUGAAUAUUGGACAAUGGGCGCAAGCCUGAUCCAGCCAUGCCGCGUGAGUGAUGAAGGCCCUAGGGUUGUAAAGCUCUUUUGUGCGGGAAGAUAAUGACGGUACCGCAAGAAUAAGCCCCAGCUAACUUCGUGCCAGCCGCCGCGGUAA